RNAcentral lists this unclassified non-coding RNA (224 nucleotides) under Hevea brasiliensis (rubber tree). The record is from RNAcentral. Lineage: Eukaryota; Viridiplantae; Streptophyta; Magnoliopsida; Malpighiales; Euphorbiaceae.
AUUGAUUGCUGGAGUUGAAUAUCCAUUGCUUGCGGAACAUAUGUCGGACUAUAUGUCAAAAACACUUUUCUACACGUCUCUUCUUUAUCGUUCCACAUUGGAGCAUAAACAUGCAGUUGCUGAGUUUUGUGGGAAUGUGGAGCUAUGUAGGCUCACGGAGCAGGUUGUAUUUUCAGAUCCAUAUAUGGAGUCUCAGUAUAAUCGUUGGACUUCACCUUACCUUG